RNAcentral lists this unclassified non-coding RNA (203 nucleotides) under Hevea brasiliensis (rubber tree). The record is from RNAcentral. Lineage: Eukaryota; Viridiplantae; Streptophyta; Magnoliopsida; Malpighiales; Euphorbiaceae.
GGGGGUGUGUGUGGGGAGGGUUAAUACCCCAUGGAGCAUAGUCGAUACGAGCAAGUGAAAUGCCAAGAGUGUUAAGUCCUGGUAUUUGGGCUACAUUGACGGGGGUAACCUUAGACCCUACUGCAUUUGAUGUAUUGCCUAGCAAGUGAAGUCCACUGAAGGAGAAAUCCUUGGCUUGCACCAUCUUGGGAUCCUUGCAUGCA